RNAcentral lists this long non-coding RNA (313 nucleotides) under Elaeis guineensis (African oil palm). RNAcentral describes it as "long non-coding RNA (EGUI_LNC020118)". The record is from RNAcentral. Lineage: Eukaryota; Viridiplantae; Streptophyta; Magnoliopsida; Arecales; Arecaceae.
UUAAUUAGAUUAAUUAAUAUUUUUUCACUGUAAAAUCAUGAUUUUGAAAAAAUUUUAAAAUUAUCAUUUUACCCCUGCAUUGAAUUUUUCCAUAUCUGAAUCAUUUGGUUGGUCAAAUUGAAACUAAUUAACCAAUUAGUAUCUAAGGUAAGUUUAGCAUUUCGAUCGAUAGUUUUUAAUUUUGAGCAACUUACCUAACCAUUUCGAUGGUGUCUAAGGCAAGCUUAGCAAACCCUUUCAUCGAUCUCACUUAUCUGACCAAUUUGAUGGAUUAUGUCUUGAUUAGACUGUUAAAUAAUUUAAGUUGACCCAU